This 282-nucleotide unclassified non-coding RNA is filed under the name Basidiomycota sp. Its description in RNAcentral is "partial contains small subunit ribosomal RNA, internal transcribed spacer 1, and 5.8S ribosomal RNA". The stretch from base 1 to 47 matches the Rfam family "Eukaryotic small subunit ribosomal RNA", at positions 1785 to 1831 of the family's 1831-position model. The record is from RNAcentral. Lineage: Eukaryota; Fungi; Basidiomycota.
AAAGUCGUAACAAGGUUUCCGUAGGUGAACCUGCGGAAGGAUCAUUGCUGAUGCCGGCGGCGUGCCGAGAGCCCCUAAAAAAGGCCUGAGGCCGCCGCUUCCAACAUCAUCUGCCCCUUCAGUGAACCCGGCGUCGGGACGAGCGUGAGCUUUGGGGCCCACGCAUACCAAAUCGUCUCUUCGCCCAACCCAACCUGUCUUUUAUUGCCUGUCUCCCCAGACUGAAGCAAAAAAAAACAAAAACAUAUCUUACAACUUUUAACAAUGGAUAUCUUGGCUCGC